AAAAAAAAAAAAAAAAAAAAAAAAAACUGGAUGUUAACUGAAAAAUCUGACCAAAUUUUGCUUUUAGAAACCUCAAGGACCAUUUUAACAGUUUACUUCAAUAUUUAUUUCAGAAGUCUCAAAUGACCUUGCCAAAAUAUGAAAUAAAGGAACUGUAUGAUUGGACUCUAUCUUCAUCAUCACUUUCAACAGAACCCUAAAUC
RNAcentral lists this long non-coding RNA (203 nucleotides) under Helianthus annuus (common sunflower). Its description in RNAcentral is "hypothetical non coding rna". Lineage: Eukaryota; Viridiplantae; Streptophyta; Magnoliopsida; Asterales; Asteraceae. The record is from RNAcentral.